AGUGAACGCUGGCGGCAGGCCUAACACAUGCAAGUCGAACGCCCCGCAAGGGGAGUGGCAGACGGGUGAGUAACGCGUGGGAAUAUUCCCUUUGGUUCAGGAUAGCCCCGGGAAACUAGGAUUAAUACUGGAUAAGAUCUACGGAUGAAAGAUUUAUCGCCGAAGGAUUAGCCCGCGUAAGAUUAGUUAGUUGGUGAGGUAACGGCUCACCAAGACAAUGAUCUUUAGCUGGUCUGAGAGGAUGAUCAGCCACGCUGGAACUGAGACACGGUCCAGACUCCUACGGGAGGCAGCAGUGAGGAAUAUUGGACAAUGGGCGCAAGCCUGAUCCAGCCAUGCCGCGUGAGUGAUGAAGGCCCUAGGGUUGUAAAACUCUUUUAGUGGGGAAAAUAAUGAUGGUACCCACAGAAAAAGCUCCGGCUAACUUCGUGCCAGCCGCCGCCGUAA
Molecule: ribosomal RNA, 447 nt
Filed under: uncultured bacterium
Lineage: Bacteria
Description: partial 16S ribosomal RNA
Rfam family: Bacterial small subunit ribosomal RNA
Source: RNAcentral